This 449-nucleotide ribosomal RNA is filed under the name uncultured bacterium. RNAcentral's name for it is "partial 16S ribosomal RNA". It matches the Rfam family "Bacterial small subunit ribosomal RNA", at positions 355 to 810 of the family's 1533-position model. The record is from RNAcentral.
UGGGGAAUAUUGGACAAUGGGCGCAGGCCUGAUCCAGCCAUGCCGCGUGAGUGAUGAAGGCCUUAGGGUUGUAAAGCUCUUUCGCCGGUGAAGAUAAUGACGGUAACCGGAGAAGAAGCCCCGGCUAACUUCGUGCCAGCAGCCGCGGUAAUACGAAAGGGGGCUAGCGUUGCUCGGAAAUCACUGGGCGUAAAGCGCACGUAGGCGGAUCGUUAAGUCAGGGGUGAAAAUCCUGGAGCUCAAACUCCAGAAACUGCCCUUGAUACUGGCGAAUCUCGAGUUCGAGAGAGGUUGGUGGAAACUCCGAGUGUAGAGGUGAAAAUUCGUAGAUAUUCGGAAGAACACCAGUGGCGAAGGCGGCCAACUGGCUCGAAUACUGACGCUGAGGUGCGAAAGCGUGGGGAGCAAAACAGGAUUAGAUACCCUGGUAGUCCACGCCGUAAAACGAU